RNAcentral lists this ribosomal RNA (1084 nucleotides) under Campylobacter jejuni. RNAcentral's name for it is "partial 23S ribosomal RNA". It matches the Rfam family "Bacterial large subunit ribosomal RNA", at positions 1 to 1099 of the family's 2925-position model. The record is from RNAcentral. Lineage: Bacteria; Pseudomonadati; Campylobacterota; Epsilonproteobacteria; Campylobacterales; Campylobacteraceae.
AAAAAAGGUAAGCUACUAAGAGCGAAUGGUGGAUGCCUUGACUGGUAAAGGCGAUGAAGGACGUACUAGACUGCGAUAAGCUACGGGGAGCUGUCAAGAAGCUUUGAUCCGUAGAUUUCCGAAUGGGGCAACCCAAUGUAUAGAGAUAUACAUUACCUAUAUAGGAGCGAACGAGGGGAAUUGAAACAUCUUAGUACUCUCAGGAAAAGAAAUCAAUAGAGAUUGCGUCAGUAGCGGCGAGCGAAAGCGCAAGAGGGCAAACCCAGUGCUUGCACUGGGGGUUGUAGGACUGCAAUGUGCAAGAGGUAAGUUUAGCAGAACAUUCUGGAAAGUAUAACCAUAGAGGGUGAUAGUCCCGUAUGCGAAAAACAAACCUUAGCUAGCAGUAUCCUGAGUAGGGCGGGACACGAGGAAUCCUGUCUGAAUCCGGGUCGACCACGAUCCAACCCUAAAUACUAAUACCAGAUCGAUAGUGCACAAGUACCGUGAGGGAAAGGUGAAAAGAACUGAGGUGAUCAGAGUGAAAUAGAACCUGAAACCAUUUGCUUACAAUCAUUCAGAGCCCUAUGUAGCAAUACAGGGUGAUGGACUGCCUUUUGCAUAAUGAGCCUGCGAGUUGUGGUGUCUGGCAAGGUUAAGCAAACGCGAAGCCGUAGCGAAAGCGAGUCUGAAUAGGGCGCUUAGUCAGAUGCUGCAGACCCGAAACGAAGUGAUCUAUCCAUGAGCAAGUUGAAGCUAGUGUAAGAACUAGUGGAGGACUGAACCCAUAGGCGUUGAAAAGCCCCGGGAUGACUUGUGGAUAGGGGUGAAAGGCCAAUCAAACUUCGUGAUAGCUGGUUCUCUCCGAAAUAUAUUUAGGUAUAGCGUUGUGUCGUAAUAUAAGGGGGUAGAGCACUGAAUGGGCUAGGGCAUACACCAAUGUACCAAACCCUAUCAAACUCCGAAUACCUUAUAUGUAAUCACAGCAGUCAGGCGGCGAGUGAUAAAAUCCGUCGUCAAGAGGGAAACAACCCAGACUACCAGCUAAGGUCCCUAAAUCUUACUUAAGUGGAAAACGAUGUGAAGUUACUUAAACAACCAGGAG